Drosophila biarmipes is the source of this 993-nucleotide long non-coding RNA. RefSeq lists it as uncharacterized. The transcript is spliced from 3 exons. Lineage: Eukaryota; Metazoa; Arthropoda; Insecta; Diptera; Drosophilidae. The record is from RefSeq and is a predicted model, not a curated record.
GGAAGUUCCGCCGAGUGUUUGUGUGUGUGUGUUGGUGCCUUUGGACAGAUCACUGGAUAUAUGUGGAGGUGGACCUGGAGUCCAGGAUGCAGUGCAUCACCAGCUAAAAAUGGUCACUCGAAGAACCAGUUGAGCGGAAGUUCCAGCGAAUGUGUGUGUGUGUAUUGGCGAUUGUGGACAGAUCACUGGAUAGAUAUGGAGAUUUUGCAUUGAUUACUGGAUUUAUAGAAAUGGAGAUGUCGUCAUUCAAGACUCCAGAGCAUCGAAAACUUCUUCAGUGCCCGAGCAGGAACGAAAUGAAGAGCUGGAAGCCUGGCAUUUACAUCAUAACAUGGCCGCCUGAUGGAUAGACAGAUAGCCAGGCAUUAGCAUUAGUGGCCACCACAAUGGGCAUGCCGAUGAUGAUGAUAUUGGGGAUGAUGAGGACGAUGGCGGUGGCUGCGAUGCCUGAUGAAGAUGAUUGCCAUGAUUACGAUGAUGGGCAGAUGAUGAUGACGACAGCCAGCUCAACUGGACGAGGAUGAGCCAGGAGCUCCUGUGCCUGCCUCAAAUUCGGAUUUGGUCUCCGAUUCGGAUUCAGAUUCAGUAAGCGAUUCGCAAACCUAUUGCGAUGCCGGUUGAGAUCCGGACUCAAGCCUAGACACUCCGUCUGGGCGUGGCCGGCGCUGAUGUUGAAACAUGCGGGUGAAUUAUCUUUUCAUUUCAUUUCCAUCAAUGUCGUCGUUGUCGUGGCUUUCGGUACGACUGCUGUUGUGGUGAAAAUUGCCACUUCCAUUCGCCCGGACGACUCCCCCCUUUUUCGACCACCUGCAGCUUGUAGUAACAACGGCCACACAUUCGCCAAUACGGGGGACUGAAAGUCGCCAUUCAAUUGUUUGGCUUGCUGUGUCCUUUUCGCCACGCCCCCGCGGCAGCCUCUGAAAUUUUGGGGCAUCAUUAAGAAGGAAUUGGGGGCCAUUAAGGAGAUGCCAGCACAAAUGUCGCCCAUUAACA